Molecule: ribosomal RNA, 105 nt
Filed under: Sinocyclocheilus rhinocerous
Lineage: Eukaryota; Metazoa; Chordata; Actinopteri; Cypriniformes; Cyprinidae
Source: RNAcentral
AUCAGCAGCCAUAUCACCCUGCAGCCCAAGACUAAGCUAAGCAGGGUUGAGCCUGGUCAGUACCUGAAUGGGAGACCUCCUGGGAAAACUAGGUUGCUGCUGGAA